Molecule: ribosomal RNA, 200 nt
Filed under: uncultured Escherichia sp.
Lineage: Bacteria; Pseudomonadati; Pseudomonadota; Gammaproteobacteria; Enterobacterales; Enterobacteriaceae
Description: partial 16S ribosomal RNA
Rfam family: Bacterial small subunit ribosomal RNA
Source: RNAcentral
ACUCCUACGGGAGGCAGCAGCGGGGAAUAUUGCACAAUGGGCGCAAGCCUGAUGCAGCCAUGCCGCGUGUAUGAAGAAGGCCUUCGGGUUGUAAAGUACUUUCAGCGGGGAGGAAGGGAGUAAAGUUAAUACCUUUGCUCAUUGACGUUACCCGCAGAAGAAGCACCGGCUAACUCCGUGCCAGCAGCCGCGGUAAUACA